GGUUAAGUGACUAAGCGUACACGGUGGAUGCCUUGGCAGUUGGAGGCGAUGAAGGACGUAUUAACUUGCGAUAAGCCUAGUCAAGCUAGUAAAAAGCACUUGAGACUAGGAUUUCCGAAUGGGGAAACCCACCUGCUUGCAGGUAUCGUUAACUGAAUACAUAGGUUAACGAGGCGAACACGGAGAACUGAAACAUCUAAGUACCCGUAGGAAAAGAAAUCAACCGAGAUUUCGAAAGUAGCGGCGAGCGAAAUCGGAACAGCCCUUAAGCUUAUUACGUGUUAAUGGAAGGCUGCUGGAAAGCGCCACGAUACAGGGUGAUAGUCCCGUACAUGAAAAGACAUUUUAAGUGAAAUCGAGUAGGUCGGAGCACGUGAAACUUUGACUGAAUAUAGGUGG
RNAcentral lists this ribosomal RNA (399 nucleotides) under Pseudoalteromonas sp. NZS127. RNAcentral describes it as "partial 23S ribosomal RNA". It matches the Rfam family "Bacterial large subunit ribosomal RNA", at positions 1 to 451 of the family's 2925-position model. The record is from RNAcentral. Lineage: Bacteria; Pseudomonadati; Pseudomonadota; Gammaproteobacteria; Alteromonadales; Pseudoalteromonadaceae.